RNAcentral lists this small nucleolar RNA (138 nucleotides) under Ornithorhynchus anatinus (platypus). The record is from RNAcentral. Lineage: Eukaryota; Metazoa; Chordata; Mammalia; Monotremata; Ornithorhynchidae.
CCUCUCUCAGGGUCGCACCUGGAGAGUUUCCAGUACUCCACAAGUGUCGACUAUGGGAGGGAGAGUCAAGCAGAGGUCUACCCAUUCCAUUCUUAGCUUGGGCAAUGGCUAGCGAGUGGAAGGCAAUCUGCUACUUGU